Phyllostomus hastatus (greater spear-nosed bat) is the source of this 2323-nucleotide RNA transcript. It is a transcript of the gene named EEF1A lysine methyltransferase 2, with no coding region annotated. The transcript has 7 exons. NCBI's taxonomy places the organism in Eukaryota, Metazoa, Chordata, Mammalia, Chiroptera, Phyllostomidae. The record is from RefSeq and is a predicted model, not a curated record.
CCGCGCCUCGUCUCUAUGGCGGCCACUCGGCGGUCCCCGGCGCGGAGCAGCAUGAUCGCGGGAGGAGGCGCCGAGGUCGCGGCGCGGUCCCACGAGGACAGUCCCGGAGGGGCUGACUUCGCCCCGUCGGCGCUGGGGACCCGACAGCAUUGGGAUGCUGUCUAUGAGAGAGGACUGAACAAUUUCCAGGAAUAUGGAGAUAGAGGAGAAAUUUGGUUUGGGGAAGAGAGUAUCAAUCGACUGACAAGGUGGAUGCAGAGACAAAAGAUUCCACUGGAUGCUUCAGUGCUUGAUAUUGGAACUGGAAAUGGUGUUUUCCUGGUUGAACUUGCAAAACUUGGUUUCUCUAAUAUUACUGGAAUUGAUUAUUCCCCUCCUGCAAUACGGCUGUCUGGAAGUGUCCUAGAGAAAGAAGGCCUAUCUAACAUUAAGUUGAAGGUGGAAGACUUUUUGAAUCUCCCCACAGAGCUGUCUGGAUUUCACAUUUGUAUCGACAGAGGGACUUUCGAUGCCAUAAGCCUCAAUCCUGACAAUGCAGCUGAGAAGAGGGAGCAGUAUGUGAAAUCUCUCUCCAGGGUGUUGAAAGUGAAAGGCUUUUUUCUAAUAACCUCGUGUAAUUGGACUAAGGAAGAGUUGCUAAAUGAAUUCAGUGAAGGACUGGAACUUUUCGAGGAGUUGCCAACACCCAAGUUCAGCUUCGGAGGCCGAUCCGGAAGCAGUGUCGCGGCGUUGGUUUUCCAGAAAACGCAAGACUUCUCAUUGGACAAAUCCAGUUAGCUUUUUUUUCAAAGGAGCCCCUCGUCAGAGUAAACCUGACACAGAAAGUGCAAGUGCAAGUGCAAGUAAUUGCUUACUUCUUUUGCCCAGAGCUCCUCCCUCCAGUGAGCUGCAAGCGUGACAUUGGCUGUGUUUUCAGCACCUGCCAACUUGGAAAUCAGGGUCUGUGCUCAGGACUUACUAGGCUCACAACCCACCCUCCGUGGCGCACAGCGCCGGCCCAGCUGGCGGGCCGCGCACCUCAAUGGCGCUGGACGCCUGGCCUCAGAGCUCUGCAGAGCUGCAGACUGGCAGGCGCUGAUGUCAGUGGGCAUUCCCCUCAAGCCGCUCUCAGCCCGCGUUUCGUGUCAGAGGCGUGAGAUUGGUGUCAUUCAGUUUAGUGCUGUGGUUAUUCUUCAACGAAAAUAAAUUUGUCUUACGUAGUUCUUGAAUCAAAAAGUAGCUGUGCCUCCAGGAACCGAAGUGCCUCUCACGGAAUGCGUGUACGUGGAGACGGGACGCGUGUGCACGUGCACACACGAGGUUCCAAGUCAGGGCUGUCACCCCCUUCACCGGCGGGGAGGUUUCAGCACAUGGGGUGGAAACAGAGAGGGAAGGACAAAGUUCAGUGCGUCGUACACGCUUGUGUGUGCAGGGCGGUUCGCUGCACCUUGAUCGCCGGUGUGGGAGCAACUGCAGACCUUGUUGUUUUGACGAAGAAGACCCACGUGAGAAAACUGCCCCAUCGUAAGUACAGACCCUUAGCUUCCAUCUACGGUCAGAACUUCCCGUAUUUUCCAGAGCACCGUGUUUUGCCAACUCGUGUUCAGUGGCCAGUCUUCUUGAAAAUGCUUCAGGUGAACUUGCCUUCCCAUCAUGUACUAUAAGAAAAUGUAAAAGAUUCUGUGUUAAAGAGAUCUUUGCAAAUGGAGAAAGGACAAUGUGAAAUGUGAGUGACUGGCUUUUAAUUCAGCGGCUGUGACAGAGGCACGGGGGCUCUGGGAGGUGAACAAGGGAGUCAACACACACACACACACACACACACACACACUGGCAUUCGGCUGUGCGGCUCCACGUGUAACACACUGGGUGUUUGUUUCACUGACUUUGUUCGUCUAAAGAUAAUACGUUAUUCUCAGAGACAAACUAGUUUGUCAUUUUUUAGUGGGGAGCUCUUUUGAAACCAUCGGUACAGGUAGAUUUGAUGGGGAGAACUGAGCAACCUUGUCUGGUCCUUGCUCAAACUUCAAAGCUCAGCUCGAACAUCACAUUUGUCUUGUUCUAAAGGCACAAAAAGAAAACACCCUCUAUACCUAGGAAGCUUCUUAGCGCACGUCAAAACCCAGCCUUUACCCUCCCCUGCACAAAUGUGCUUCGGUGGAAACUUUUAUUAGCUUGUUGAUACAAGUUACAGUUGAUCACACCCUUUCUUAAUAAAAUACACCCUUUUUGUCUCCUGUUGCUUAAGAGCUUUAAACUUGGAAUGAGGGAGCUCUCUACAGAGAAUGACACCAUGUGAACCUCCCAGGCCGUCUGGAGCGGACACGCGGUGCGUGCCGUGCACACA